This 506-nucleotide ribosomal RNA is filed under the name uncultured bacterium. RNAcentral's name for it is "partial 16S ribosomal RNA". It matches the Rfam family "Bacterial small subunit ribosomal RNA", at positions 29 to 523 of the family's 1533-position model. The record is from RNAcentral.
AUUGAACGCUGGCGGCAGGCCUAACACAUGCAAGUCGAACGGCAGCACAGAAGAGCUUGCUCUUUGGGUGGCGAGUGGCGGACGGGUGAGUAAUGUCUGGGAAACUGCCCGAUGGAGGGGGAUAACUACUGGAAACGGUAGCUAAUACCGCAUAACGUCGCGAGACCAAAGUGGGGGACCUUCGGGCCUCACACCAUCGGAUGUGCCCAGAUGGGAUUAGCUAGUAGGUGGGGUAAUGGCUCACCUAGGCGACGAGCCCUAGCUGGUCUGAGAGGAUGACCAGCCACACUGGAACUGAGACACGGUCCAGACUCCUACGGGAGGCAGCAGUGGGGAAUAUUGCACAAUGGGCGCAAGCCUGAUGCAGCCAUGCCGCGUGUAUGAAGAAGGCCUUCGGGUUGUAAAGUACUUUCAGCGGGGAGGAAGGCGGUGAGGUUAAUAACCUUGCCGAUUGACGUUACCCGCAGAAGAAGCACCGGCUAACUCCGUGCCAGCAGCCGCCGCGG